Molecule: long non-coding RNA, 393 nt
Organism: Crotalus tigris (Tiger rattlesnake)
Lineage: Eukaryota; Metazoa; Chordata; Lepidosauria; Squamata; Viperidae
Exons: 3
Source: RefSeq, a predicted model, not a curated record
UACACUUGUGUGUGUUUGUGUGCGUAUGUGUUUGUAUCUGUGCGUUAUUUUUUUUUUUUUUUUGGUUAAUACCUUACAUCUAGUAUGUGCUUAAUAAAAAAUGUUCAUUAUAUUUCAAAAUUUGUAACUAUAUGACACUUAAAAUAUAUUUAUUAUUUCAGGUUGUCCAGAAAGUGGAUUUUGCUUUUACGGCUUUCAUUUUGGGAAAUCUUGAGGUGUCUUGGAUUUCUAAUCCUCCAGUCAGUGAUACCUUUGGGUGUUGAAAACUGAAUCUCUGGUGGGGAUAAAAAGGCAUCUGUCUUUCUGGCCUUGACAAUCAAAUUAAGUAAUUGAUUGACAGAAUGUUGGCACCAGUUUUGGAAGAAUCGAUCAGCCUCAACUCAAGGUAUGGAA